UAAUACAUGCAAGUCGAGCGAAGUUUUUCUGGUGCUUGCACUAGAAAAACUUAGCGGCGAACGGGUGAGUAACACGUAAAGAACCUGCCUCAUAGACUGGGACAACUAUUGGAAACGAUAGCUAAUACCGGAUAACAGCAUUAACUGCAUGGUUGAUGUUUGAAAGUUGGUUUUGCUAACACUAUGAGAUGGCUUUGCGGUGCAUUAGCUAGUUGGUGGGGUAAAGGCCUACCAAGGCGACGAUGCAUAGCCGACCUGAGAGGGUGAUCGGCCACACUGGGACUGAGACACGGCCCAGACUCCUACGGGAGGCAGCAGUAGGGAAUCUUCCGCAAUGGGCGAAAGCCUGACGGAGCAACGCCGCGUGAGUGAAGAAGGAUUUCGGUUCGUAAAGCUCUGUUGUUAGGGAAGAAUGAUUAUGUAGUAACUAUACAYAGUAGAGACGGUACCUAACCAGAAAGCCACGGCUAACUACGUGCCAGCAGCCGCGGUAAUA
RNAcentral lists this ribosomal RNA (496 nucleotides) under Gemella sp. KKA Seq771. Its description in RNAcentral is "bacterial SSU rRNA". It matches the Rfam family "Bacterial small subunit ribosomal RNA", at positions 49 to 525 of the family's 1533-position model. The record is from RNAcentral. Lineage: Bacteria; Bacillati; Bacillota; Bacilli; Caryophanales; Gemellaceae.